Molecule: ribosomal RNA, 426 nt
Filed under: uncultured bacterium
Lineage: Bacteria
Description: partial 16S ribosomal RNA
Rfam family: Bacterial small subunit ribosomal RNA
Source: RNAcentral
GUGAGGAAUUUUCCGCAAUGGUCGAAAGCCUGACGGAGCAAUGCCGCGUGAAGGAUGAAGGCCUAUGGGUUGUAAACUUCUUUUCUCAGAAAAGAAUUAUGACGGUAUCUGAGGAAUAAGCAUCGGCUAACUCUGUGCCAGCAGCCGCGGUAAGACAGAGGAUGCAAGCGUUAUCCGGAAUGAUUGGGCGUAAAGCGUCUGUAGGUUGUUUAAAAAGUAUUCUGUCAAAGAUUAGGGCUUAACCCUAGAUAGGCAGAAUAAACUUUUAAGCUAGAGUGUGGUAGAGGCAGAGGGAAUACACGGUGGAGCAGUGAAAUGCGUAGAUAUCGGGAGGAACACCAAAGGCGAAGGCACUCUGCUGGGCAAAUACUAACACUGAGAGACGAAAGCGAGGGGAGCAAAUGGGAUUAGAUACCCGAGUAGUCC